Molecule: ribosomal RNA, 201 nt
Filed under: uncultured bacterium
Lineage: Bacteria
Description: partial 16S ribosomal RNA
Rfam family: Bacterial small subunit ribosomal RNA
Source: RNAcentral
UACGGAGGGUGCAAGCGUUGUCCGGAUUUAUUGGGUUUAAAGGGUGCGUAGGUGGCCUGUUAAGUCCGGGGUGAAAGCCCACAGCUCAACUGUGGAACUGCCCUGGAUACUGGCGGGCUUGAGAGUAGUAGAGGGUGGCGGAAUAGAUGCUGUAGCGGUGAAAUGCAUAGAUAGCAUCUAGAACCCCCGAUUGCGAAGCAG